CCCGGGCUUGGAAAUGCUUGUCCAUCGGGCCGUGUCUACCACCCGACGUUGGACAAGUCGAGUCUACAUUUCCUCCUCAUUUUCCCGGCUGUUAGAUUCUUUGACGAGCCAGAUCUGCACUCAACGGUCAAAAUUAGGGUUAGGGUAAAGUUUUCUUUUUAGCUGAAAUUGGGUUUGAUGCGAUUUGGAAAUUUGAAGAAUUGAUUGGCAGAGAAAAGCUCUGGAUUUGUAUAUUAACUUUUAUGGUGUGUAGUGUAUAGAUAUAGGUACAUAGAUAAGAUGGAUGGGAUACAUAGGAACAAUGGCAGCAUGCAUAUGGCUAGUGAUGCACAACACCCAAUGCAUCAUCAUGUACACUAUGAACAUCAUCAUCAUCAUAUCAUGAAUGGGGAUGCGAUGGUUGACGGUGAUGAUCAUCAUGAUCCUCAUCAUCAUCACCAUCGUGAUGUCGAUGACAGUGUUGAUGGUGAAGUAGCUGAGGGAGUAGAAGCAGGGGAUCUGCCCUCGGAUCACCCCGGGGCUCUUUCCGGUAACCAGGGCCCCGAUAAUGGCAACCAGCUUACUCUGUCUUUUCAGGGUCAAGUCUACGUCUACGACUCCGUGCCACCCGAAAAGGUUCAAGCUGUGCUUUUAUUAUUGGGCGGGUGUGAAGUACCACCAACCAUGCCUUCUAUCCCUAUAACUACUCAGAAUAAUAGGGGAUUGCCUGGUACUCCACAACGGUUUAGUGUCCCACAGAGAUUGGCCUCACUGCUUAGAUUCCGUGAAAAGCGCAAAGAGCGGAAUUUUGACAAGAAAAUUCGUUACACUGUCCGUAAAGAGGUAGCACUAAGGAUGCAACGAAAUAAAGGUCAAUUCACAUCUUUAAAGCCCAAUGCUGAUGAUUCUGCAUCAGCUGCCUCAAGCUGGGGCCCAAACCAGAGCUGGGUUGCAGAUGGUAAUGGAUCACAAAAUCAAGAGAUUGUUUGUCGACAUUGUGGCAUCAGUGAGAAAUCUACACCAAUGAUGCGACGUGGACCUGAAGGGCCUAGGACACUUUGCAAUGCUUGUGGACUUAUGUGGGCAAACAAGGGAACUCUAAAGGACCUCUCUAAGGCAGCACCUCAAACUGGUCAAAGUUCUUCCUUAAGCAAGGAUGGGGAGAAGCUUUUGCAUACAACCUGUUCUGAGCUACAAAAUAUCUGAAUGAAGCUGAGCUUGUGGAAAGGAUCUGAUCUGACCAGUAUGAAUCAGAACACUUUUGGCCUUGAUUCAUUUGAAUAUUCAUGAUAGCUUUGUCCAUUUAACGGAGUGUAUUUGGAAUGUUGACGUUGAUGGCUCCUUCCUUCUAGAAUGAUAAGGAAUUUAAUCGAUGUAGUGUUGGCGAAUUGAAUGGAGGCUGGAGUUCGGUUUGACUUGAAAAUUCAAGGUUCCAGCUUAAAUUUUUGUGGUUUCCAACUAGUUUGCCCAGUGACUGCGAAGGAGCCAACGUACAUUUCAUCAAGCAUGACAUGAGAGAGGUCAAGAGAAGCAUCGAUCAGUGGUUUUUUGGGCAUUUUCAUGUUUACAGGAGCCAUUGUCACCCUCAGCUGAGAUCCUUACUCUAUACUUUGCUCCAUUUUUCAUCUCUGACCCCUGGAAUGACCAAUUAUAACUAGUGUUGAGAUUUUUGUCUCUAUCAGUCCAAUAUCCAGCCUUGUCAGAUACCAGAGAAAUGAGAGAAUUUAUGUCAACACCUACAUGAUGGUGGUCGUUGGUAUCAUUGAAUACUUGAUUCUGGAAAACAUCAAGUUCAUUAUAUACCAAAAACAUGGUUGUUGGGAUUUGCAUUGUAAGCACCUUGAAGGCAAACAGAUGAAGACUAAGCCAUGUUCAGUGAACUUGUUCACUUGACAAGAACCCGCAUGUUAGCCUCUUGUAUCCCUGUAUUUUAACAUAUGACAUCAAUUGCUUACUUCACGAAAUAAGAAACUUAUCAUGCACUAGUCUUUGCAGCAACAUUGAUGUCUGGUCUCAACAUUGCGUCCAUCAAGAACUACACUUAAGAAUAAGGAUAUCUUAAUUAUAACCCUGUAUAUCUCUUGCAAGGCAUUUUCAUUCUUUGGGCUCCAUCUCAUUGCUACUCAAAUAACUCUUUAUAUUCUCGUACUAAUGAUGAGAAAAGUCUUUUAUCACUUAUAGACAAUUAAUUAAUUUGAGUAAGUAACAACGUAUCUCUGACUAUUUUUAUUGGCUCUAGAACAUACACUGACAAAAAGUUGUAGACUUUUUUU
Molecule: non-coding RNA, 2252 nt
Organism: Durio zibethinus
Lineage: Eukaryota; Viridiplantae; Streptophyta; Magnoliopsida; Malvales; Malvaceae
Source: RefSeq, a predicted model, not a curated record